RNAcentral lists this long non-coding RNA (740 nucleotides) under Scleropages formosus (Asian bonytongue). RNAcentral's name for it is "lncRNA (ENSSFOG00015025172.1)". Lineage: Eukaryota; Metazoa; Chordata; Actinopteri; Osteoglossiformes; Osteoglossidae. The record is from RNAcentral.
GGAGGGGAGGGGGCGGUGGUCUGUUCAGAACAAAGCGCGGGGCAGAAACUGAUACAUUAGGUUGCACGCGCCCCCCUUUCCCACGAGGCGCUCAAUUAACUGCCGCGCGGGUCCUCGAGCAGCUUUCUGGAGCUGAGAAAGUUCCACAUCGGAGCUUUUCGGUUACAAUUCCCUUUGUCUUUACAAGAAUUCCGCGUGGGGACUCCAUCUGCGCGCGCGCGCGCGCUCGAAAUACAGCCUCCUUUUGUGUCUUUUUUUUUUUUUUACAAAUGUGAGACCUGCGUGGUUUGGCGUUCCGUAAAAUGACGCACCUGGGUAUAUGUGGGCGCAGAUGUGUUUGGGGCAAUACUGCUCCGCGUAUUUUCUGAAGUCAGUGCUUUAUUAAAAGUGGAAUAAUUCAAUAAAAAGUAAAAACAAAAAUAACAGAGCAGGCAACGACAGGCGUUACGAUAUCAAUACGCAUACAGAACAUGGUGAACAGAGAGGAGUUCAUUUUUGAGACUCUCAGUGAGAGGUGCUGCGUGAGGGCCGCGAUGCGUCGCAGGAGCGGCACGAGAGCGACACGAGCGCGCGCAGCCCGACAGAUGGGGUCAAGAACCCGGGAUCAAUGAGAUGGAAAUUGAAGAACUUCGGCUGUAAAUGCGAGACUAUGGACAAAGGCAAUAGAAAUACAGCAAAACAAUGACAAUGAAUGACAGUAAGUAGCGCAACAGCAAUAAAUAAUGGUAACAGUAGUAACA